This 474-nucleotide ribosomal RNA is filed under the name uncultured bacterium. Its description in RNAcentral is "bacterial SSU rRNA". It matches the Rfam family "Bacterial small subunit ribosomal RNA", at positions 56 to 524 of the family's 1533-position model. The record is from RNAcentral.
UGCAAGUCGAGCGGAGAGAGGUAGCUUGCUACUGAUCUUAGCGGCGGACGGGUGAGUAAUGCUUAGGAAUCUGCCUAUUAGUGGGGGACAACAUUUCGAAAGGAAUGCUAAUACCGCAUACGUCCUACGGGAGAAAGCAGGGGAUCUUCGGACCUUGCGCUAAUAGAUGAGCCUAAGUCGGAUUAGCUAGUUGGUGGGGUAAAGGCCUACCAAGGCGACGAUCUGUAGCGGGUCUGAGAGGAUGAUCCGCCACACUGGGACUGAGACACGGCCCAGACUCCUACGGGAGGCAGCAGUGGGGAAUAUUGGACAAUGGGCGCAAGCCUGAUCCAGCCAUGCCGCGUGUGUGAAGAAGGCCUUAUGGUUGUAAAGCACUUUAAGCGAGGAGGAGGCUACUUUAGUUAAUACCUAGAGAUAGUGGACGUUACUCGCAGAAUAAGCACCGGCUAACUCUGUGCCAGCAGCCGCGGUAAU